AUUUUCAUCUAGUUCCUCUAGGGCAAUUUCAUUUCACGCUUGUGUUUAAAAUACCUUUCCGCCAUUUUGUUUGUUUUGGGAAAAUCAUUAAUUGUACUGCAGUACAAUUAAUGAAAUAAUUGUACUCAUCUCAACCAACCAGCAUCCAGUAAUUUUGUCAUGCUAAUAAUAAAUGCAAUAAUAACAUCUCUAAUAUCGUAGAAGUAAUGGUAGAACUGGAGGGUGCUUCCUUGGCAUUUCUGGCAGUUUCUGGGCACACUUUAUACUAGCGGUAUCAAGAAUUUUAUACCAAGAAUUUUGAAUCAAGAAUUUUACAACAAGAAUUUUAGACCAAGAAUUUUGAUAUCAAAAAUUUUUGUCUUAUAUUAAAACGGCACUUUUGCCCGCAUUUAAUUGCUUCCUUAUACGAAAGGGCAGGAGGUGCUACUUUGUCCCCACUCCCCCACCCC
Paramuricea clavata is the source of this 449-nucleotide non-coding RNA. NCBI's taxonomy places the organism in Eukaryota, Metazoa, Cnidaria, Anthozoa, Malacalcyonacea, Plexauridae. The record is from the annotation of a GenBank genome assembly.